AACGAACGCUGGCGGCAUGCCUAACACAUGCAAGUCGAACGAGACCUUCGGGUCUAGUGGCGCACGGGUGCGUAACGCGUGGGAACCUGCCCUUAGGUUCGGAAUAACUCCCCGAAAGGGGUGCUAAUACCGGAUAAUGUCUUCGGACCAAAGAUUUAUCGCCUUUUGAUGGGCCCGCGUUGGAUUAGCUAGUUGGUAGGGUAAAAGCCUACCAAGGCGACGAUCCAUAGCUGGUCUGAGAGGAUGAUCAGCCACACUGGGACUGAGACACGGCCCAGACUCCUACGGGAGGCAGCAGUGGGGAAUAUUGGACAAUGGGCGAAAGCAUGAUCCAGCAAUGCCGCGUGAGUGAUGAAGGCCUUAGGGUUGUAAAGCUCUUUUACCCGGGAUGAUAAUGACAGUACCGGGAGAAUAAGCUCCGGCUAACUCCGUG
Molecule: ribosomal RNA, 433 nt
Filed under: uncultured bacterium
Lineage: Bacteria
Description: partial 16S ribosomal RNA
Rfam family: Bacterial small subunit ribosomal RNA
Source: RNAcentral